This 497-nucleotide ribosomal RNA is filed under the name uncultured bacterium. Its description in RNAcentral is "partial 16S ribosomal RNA". It matches the Rfam family "Bacterial small subunit ribosomal RNA", at positions 28 to 507 of the family's 1533-position model. The record is from RNAcentral.
GAUGAACGCUGGCGGCGUGCCUAACACAUGCAAGUCGAGCGAACGGACGCGGAGCUUGCUCCUUUGACGUUAGCGGCGGACGGGUGAGUAACACGUGUAUAACCUACCUAUAAGACUGGGAUAACCUCGGGAAACCGGAGCUAAUACCGGAUAAUAUAUUGCACCGCAUGGUUCAAUAGUGAAAGACGGUUUUGCGGUCUCUUAUAGAUGGAUCUGCGCCGCAUUAGCUAGUUGGUAAGGUAACGGCUUACCAAGGCAACGAGGCGUAGCCGAACUGAGAGAGUGGUAGGCCACACUGGAGCGGGACCAGGGACCAGAGUCCUGCGGGAGGCAGCAGUAGGGAAUCGGCCGCAGUGGGCGGAAACCUGGCGGAGCAACGCCGCGUGAGUGAUGAAAGUCUUGGGAUCGUAAAGCUCUGUUAUUGGGGAAGAACAAAUGUGUAAGUAACUAUGCACGUCUUGACGGUACCUAAUCAGGAAGCCACGGCUAACUACGUG